AUUCGAAGCAACGCGAAGAACCUUACCAGGUCUUGACAUCCCUUGACAACUCCAGAGAUGGAGCGUUCCCUUCGGGGACAAGGUGACAGGUGGUGCAUGGUUGUCGUCAGCUCGUGUCGUGAGAUGUUGGGUUAAGUCCCGCAACGAGCGCAACCCUUAUUACUAGUUGCCAGCAUUUAGUUGGGCACUCUAGUGAGACUGCCGGUGACAAACCGGAGGAAGGUGGGGAUGACGUCAAAUCAUCAUGCCCCUUAUGACCUGGGCUACACACGUGCUACAAUGGCGUAUACAACGAGUUGCCAACCCGCGAGGGUGAGCUAAUCUCUUAAAGUACGUCUCAGUUCGGAUUGUAGGCUGCAACUCGCCUACAUGAAGUCGGAAUCGCUAGUAAUCGCGGAUCAGCACGCCGCGGUGAAUACGUUCCCGGGUCUUGUACACACCGCCCGUCACACCAUGAGAGUUUGUAACACCCAAAGCCGGUGGGGUAACCUUCGGGAGCCAGCCGUCUAAGGUGGGACAGAUGAUU
This 526-nucleotide ribosomal RNA is filed under the name Weissella hellenica. RNAcentral's name for it is "bacterial SSU rRNA". It matches the Rfam family "Bacterial small subunit ribosomal RNA", at positions 949 to 1476 of the family's 1533-position model. Lineage: Bacteria; Bacillati; Bacillota; Bacilli; Lactobacillales; Lactobacillaceae. The record is from RNAcentral.